UACGUAGGGUGCGAGCGUUGUCCGGAAUUAUUGGGCGUAAAGGGCUCGUAGGCGGUUUGUCGCGUCGGGAGUGAAAACCUCGGGCUUAACUCGGGGCUUGCUUUCGAUACGGGCAGACUGGAGGUAUGCAGGGGAGAACGGAAUUCCUGGUGUAGCGGUGAAAUGCGCAGAUAUCAGGAGGAACACCGGUGGCGAAGGCGGUUCUCUGGGCAUGACCUGACGCUGAGACGCGAAAGCGUGGGGAGCGAACAGG
This 253-nucleotide ribosomal RNA is filed under the name uncultured bacterium. Its description in RNAcentral is "partial 16S ribosomal RNA". It matches the Rfam family "Bacterial small subunit ribosomal RNA", at positions 524 to 776 of the family's 1533-position model. The record is from RNAcentral.